GCGGUAAUUCAAGCUCCAAUAGCGUAUAUGUAAAUUGUUGCGGUUGAAAAGCUCGUAGUUGGACUUCUGGCGACUGCGUUCGGUCCGCCAAGCGCGUGCACUGUCCGCGGUCGUCGUCUCUGUCGACGUGGCGCGUCGGCCUUAGUUGGUCGGUGCGUCGUCUGUCGGCGAUGUUACUUUGAGGAAAUCAGAGUGCUCAAGGCAAGCGUUCGCUCGUGACUUCACUAGCAUGGAAUAACACAGAUGGGCUCUUUCUCGCACUGUUGGUCUGCGUCAAUUGAGCAACGAUCGAUAGAGACGGUCGGGGGCAUUCGUAUUGCGCAGUUAGAGGUGAAAUUCUCCGAUCUGCGCAAGACGUACUAAUGCGAAAGCAGUUGCCAAGGACGUCCUCUUAUGAUCAAGAGCGAAAGUCGGGGGAUCAAAGAUGAUUAGAUACCGUCGUAGUCCCGACCAUAAAUGAUGCCGACUGAGCUUCGGCGACUCGACCUCAGGUCGUACGUCGGCGCUCUUAGAGAAAUUAAAGUCUUUGGGCUCCGGGGGUAGUAUGGUCGCAAGUCUGAAACUUGAAGGAAUUGACGGAAGGGCAUCACAAGGCGUGGAUGUUGCGGCUUAAUUUGACUCAACACGGGAAAGCUUACUAGGUUUGGACACCUUUGUGAUGGACAGAUUGAAGCUCUUACCCUACUGCGUGGAUGGUGGUGCAUGGUCGUUCUCAGCCCGUGGGUUGACCUGUCAGGUUUACUCCGGUAACGCGCGAGACCUCGGUCUGCUAAAUAGACGCGGCUGUUUCGGCACCCGCGCUCUUCUUAGAGAGAGACUCGACGAGAGUCGAGGGAAGUCGAGGCAAUAACAGAUCUGUGAUGCCCUUAGUUAUCCUAGGUCGCACGCGCCAUACAAUGUGGCGCACAACGAGUCUCCUUGGCCGACAGGAUCUGGGCAAUCUGGCAGAGCGCUACGUGACUGGGCUAGACUUUUGUAAUUUUUGGUCUUGAACGAGGAAUGCCUAGUAAUCGCAGGUCAGCAUCCUGCGAUGAUUCGGUCCCUGCCCUUUGUACACACCGCCCGUCGCUCCAUCCGUGGCAUGCGCCGGUGAAGAGGGGGAGGCAGCGUCGGCCGGGUAACACCGGAUCGUACGUGGAACCCCUCUGAACCUUCGCACGUAGAGGAAGGAGAAGUCGUAACAAGGUUUUCGUAGGUGAACCUGCGAAAGGAUCAUUAUCGGCACA
This 1226-nucleotide ribosomal RNA is filed under the name Halimeda opuntia. RNAcentral's name for it is "SSU rRNA". It matches the Rfam family "Eukaryotic small subunit ribosomal RNA", at positions 576 to 1831 of the family's 1831-position model. Lineage: Eukaryota; Viridiplantae; Chlorophyta; Ulvophyceae; Bryopsidales; Halimedaceae. The record is from RNAcentral.